CACCUGUUCUCAUUCCGAACACAGAAGUUAAGCUCCCCAGCGGCGAUUAUACUGCGAAAGUGGGAAACUAGCACGGUGCCGAAU
This 84-nucleotide ribosomal RNA is filed under the name TM7 phylum sp. oral taxon 352. Lineage: Bacteria; Candidatus Saccharimonadota. The record is from RNAcentral.